AUCGGGAUAACUCCGGGAAACCGGUGCUAAUACCGAAUAGUUUGUUUCGCCUCCUGGCGAGACACGGAAAGACGGUUUCGGCUGUCACUGCAGGAUGGGCCCGCGGCGCAUUAGCUAGUUGGUGGGGUAAUGGCCCACCAAGGCGACGAUGCGUAGCCGACCUGAGAGGGUGAUCGGCCACACUGGGACUGAGACACGGCCCAGACUCCUACGGGAGGCAGCAGUAGGGAAUCUUCCGCAAUGGACGAAAGUCUGACGGAGCAAUGCCGCGUGAGUGACGAAGGUUUUCGGAUCGUAAAACUCUGUUGUGAGGGAAGAACAAGUACCAAGUAACUACUGGUACCUUGACGGUACCUCACCAGAAAGCCACGGCUAACUACGUGCCAGCAGCCGCGGUAAUACGUAGGUGGCAAGCGUUGUCCGGAAUUAUUGGGCGUAAAGCGCGCGCAGGCGGUCCCUUAAGUCUGAUGUGAAAGCCCACGGCUCAACCGUGGAGGGUCAUUGGAAACUGGGGGACUUGAGUGCAGAAGAGGAAAGUGGAAUUCCAUGUGUAGCGGUGAAAUGCGUAGAGAUGUGGAGGAACACCAGUGGCGAAGGCGACUUUCU
Molecule: ribosomal RNA, 606 nt
Filed under: Planomicrobium sp. CY-C1-12
Lineage: Bacteria; Bacillati; Bacillota; Bacilli; Caryophanales; Caryophanaceae
Description: bacterial SSU rRNA
Rfam family: Bacterial small subunit ribosomal RNA
Source: RNAcentral